CAGCCGCCGCGGGAAUACGUAGGUCCCGAGCGUUGUCCGGAAUUAUUGGGCGUAAAGCGCGCGCAGGCGGAUAGGUCAGUCUGUCUUAAAAGUUCGGGGCUUAACCCCGUGAUGGGAUGGAAACUGCCAAUCUAGAGUAUCGGAGAGGAAAGUGGAAUUCCUAGUGUAGCGGUGAAAUGCGUAGAUAUUAGGAAGAACACCAGUGGCGAAGGCGACUUUCUGGACGAAAACUGACGCUGAGGCGCGAAAGCCAGGGGAGCGAACGGGAUUAGAUACCCGUGUAGUCCCUGUCUCUUAUACC
Molecule: ribosomal RNA, 301 nt
Filed under: uncultured bacterium
Lineage: Bacteria
Description: partial 16S ribosomal RNA
Rfam family: Bacterial small subunit ribosomal RNA
Source: RNAcentral